RNAcentral lists this long non-coding RNA (1995 nucleotides) under Ananas comosus (pineapple). RNAcentral describes it as "long non-coding RNA (ACOM_LNC005526)". Lineage: Eukaryota; Viridiplantae; Streptophyta; Magnoliopsida; Poales; Bromeliaceae. The record is from RNAcentral.
CAAGGCUCAACACAGGAUCAUGUACAAAGAAUUUGCCCAGGGAUAAUUCAAUACAUACACGAUCCAACAAGAAGAGAAGCACAAAGAGUGCAAUACAACAAGAGCAAGUAACACAAGUAUACAUACAAGUGCAUAAAGAGAGAUACAUCUAGCUAUUACAUCACAUUCCACUUUUCCAUCUUUGAUUACAUUUACAUUUUCAUCAUCACCCAAAAUGAAUACAUAAUCAUCUCACAUAUAUAUAAUGCUAGCUAUCCAAAAUACAUCAUGUCAUCUAUAACCAUGCACACGAGGGUGCUCUAGUACAAUAGGAAAGCUCUACUAGCUAGCUAGGGCGCUACGCCCUUACCGCGAUCACCUGCCGGUCCGCUCUCGUGUGUACCUGUACCCCAAAACCACACGGGGUGAGAACUAUAUAAAUAUAGUUCCCAGUGGGUUCGGCCGCCGACUCCGCCGAUCUUCCCACUAGGUCUAAGCUGGCACAAAUAGAUAGAUAGAGAGAUAGAUAGAUAUUGAACUGCAACUAUGAUCUAUUGUGCCAUCAAAUGCAAGCAAUGCAUGAAAUAUCAUCUAGCACUAAGCCUACUAUCAUGAUAAUAUGCUUCAACAAUGUAAUGAAUGCAAAUACAACAUAGUUAUGUAAUCCUCUAACAUAUACUAUGUCUAAUCAUGGUAUGAAUGCAAAUGCACUUAUGCAAUUCAUGUCAUUGCCCAAUCCAUUAGGCUACCCCGCCUAAGAUCUCAAAUCUCAUAGGUACUCACACCACAAUCUAGUAGGUGAAGAGGUGAAGAACUACUCCGCUCUUCGCCCCGACUGAUAUCUCAAAUCUCACAGGUGAGGAGCUACCUCGCUCUUAUCUCACCCGUCUCACAUCUCAAAGGUAAUAGAUGAAGAGCUACCCCGCUCUAAUCUCAUAGAUAUUGAGCUGCCCCGCUCAAUCUCAUAGGGGAAAGGCUACCCCACCCUUCGCCCCAACUCACGUCCCAAUCCAAUGGGUGAGGAGCUACCCCGCUCGUAUCCCACCCGAUGAGCUACCCCGCUCAUGAGCUACCCCGCUCGUGUGACAACUUCGGAGUGCACUGCUUGUGUGAAGCGACCACCACAAGCUCAAAACAGACUAUGUGAGUAUGAUCCAAUCCUCGCCAACUGAGGAUACCCUGUCAACUAGGUUAACAAACACUCGAAAAUCCACCUAUCCCUAGGUCCAUGUCAAGUGUCUCAACCACACUAAUCAAUUCACACUAGGGAAUUGAACUAUCCCUAUGUUUAAUGCCAUAGUGUCUCAAUUACACUAAUUCUUAUGCAAUAUGCCAUGACUAGGGAAACUCACCUAUUCCCUAUGCUCAAUGCCACAAGUGUUUCUAUUACACUAAAUUCCAAUGCUACUCGUCAUGUUGUUAACAUUGUUUACAUGCUACUCGUCCAAGUCAUAGUGUUUUCUAUACACUAGUUCGCAUGUCACUAGUUUUCAUCAUCAAGUCCGAGUUCACCGUUUUCUUAUCACUAUAGGAUCUCAUGUCACAAACCCUAAUCCUCAUGCAUUCUAGAUUUAAGUGUCAAGUCCAUAAUGCUACACAACUAGACAUACAUGCAAGGAAAUAGAAAUGCAACUAUACAUACAUCCUAUAAUGCAUAAGAACAAUAUAUGCAAUAUGACCAAAAAUCUAACUCGGACAUAGAAAGAAGCCCAGUUGCUUCGGGAUGGACACCCCCCACCUUUUAUCGCUAUCACAAGGCUAGGGUUCCGAUUUCGUGAUUUUUGGAAGCUUUCGCCACGAGCUGCGGCAAUCUGUACCUUAACAGCUUCGUUCUUUAAUAUCUUCACGUAGCCUCGUCGUAUCGCCGAACCGACUUCGCCAACGCGUCAGAAAACCUCUCAAACCCAAGCUCUCUUCAAACCAAUGGUGAAGAAAAAGAAAGCUUCACCUCUAAGCAAGCUUUUCUCUACCAAACUCCACACUUUGGAGCCAAUCCUAGAGAGAGAGAGAGAGAGA